This 460-nucleotide ribosomal RNA is filed under the name uncultured bacterium. RNAcentral's name for it is "partial 16S ribosomal RNA". It matches the Rfam family "Bacterial small subunit ribosomal RNA", at positions 338 to 795 of the family's 1533-position model. The record is from RNAcentral.
CCUACGGGCGGCAGCAGUGAGGAAUAUUGGUCAAUGGACGAGAGUCUGAACCAGCCAAGUAGCGUGAAGGAUGACUGCCCUAUGGGUUGUAAACUUCUUUUAUAUGGGAAUAAAACAGGGUAUGCAUACCCUCUUGUAUGUACCCUAUGAAUAAGGAUCGGCUAACUCCGUGCCAGCAGCCGCGGUAAUACGGAGGGUCCGAGCGUUAUCCGGAUUUAUUUGGUUUAAAGGGUGCGUAGGUGGAUUUUUAAGUCCGUUGUGAAAGUUUGCGGGUCAACCGUGAAAGUGCAGUUGAAACUGGCGGUCUUGAGUACAUUAGAGGUAGGCGGAAUGCGUGGUGUCGCGGUGAAAUGCUUAGAUAUCACGAAGAACUCCGAUUGCGAAGGCAGCUCACUGGAGCGCGACUGACACUGAUGCUCGAAAGUGUGGGUAUCAAACAGGAUUAGAUACCCGAGUAGUC